RNAcentral lists this ribosomal RNA (497 nucleotides) under uncultured bacterium. Its description in RNAcentral is "partial 16S ribosomal RNA". It matches the Rfam family "Bacterial small subunit ribosomal RNA", at positions 28 to 507 of the family's 1533-position model. The record is from RNAcentral.
GAUGAACGCUGGCGGCGUGCCUAAUACAUGCAAGUCGAGCGAACGGACGAGAAGCUCGCUUCUCUGAUGUUAUCGGCGGACGGGUGAGUAACACGUGGAUAACCUACCUAUAAGACUGGGAUAACUUCGGGAAACCGGAGCUAAUACCGGAUAAUAUUUUGAACCGCAUGGUUCAAAAGUGAAAGACGGUCUUGCUGUCACUUAUAGAAGGAUCCGCGCUGCAUUAGCUAGUUGGUAAGGUAACGGCUUACCAAGGCAACGAUGCAUAGCCGACCUGAGAGGGUGAUCGGCCACACUGGAACUGAGACACGGUCCAGACUCCUACGGGAGGCAGCAGUAGGGAAUCUUCCGCAAUGGGCGAAAGCCUGACGGAGCAACGCCGCGUGAGUGAUGAAGGUCUUCGGAUCGUAAAACUCUGUUAUUAGGGAAGAACAUAUGUGUAAGUAACUGUGCACAUCUUGACGGUACCUAAUCAGAAAGCCACGGCUAACUACGUG